GAACACAUGUUAAUUAAACUGAAUUAGUAAAAUUUGCAAAGUUUGGUUGCGAAAUGUUGUAAAAUGCGGGAAAUAUACCCCUGCGAAAUUUUCAAAUUUUGGUAUUAAUUUGUAUAACGCGCGGGAAAUGUACCACAUUUGGGCCGAAGUGGCGCGUAAUACAAAUUAAUACAAAAUUUGCAAAUUUCGUAAGGCUAUAUCUUCCGGAUUUUGCAACAUUUCACAAACAAACUUUGCAGUUUACUAAUUUUAAAAUUUAACAUGCUCUUUCUAGUUGUGGUGAUGGAAUUUGUUCUUCUUUUGCCUAGAUCAAAAUUUAGUCUAUUAUACCUGUCGCGAUUUAGGAAGAGCGUAUUUGCGUUGGGUUUUCAGUUGGCCCAACAAACCCCAACGCUUAAUUAGUUAUUCCAGAAUCUCAUGACAAUGCCUAUUGCCUAAAACUUAAUACUUCAUGUUAGGUUGUCAAGGACCGAAACAACUGUGGGGUGUAACACCCUCAAUGAAAAGUCAAGGAAGGGGGUCCAACUUGCUCACAGGAUGACGGGGGGGGGGGUUAAUACUGGAAUAAACCCAACAGACCCAACAAACCCAACAGGCACAACAGACCCAACAAACCCAACAGGCACAACAGACCCAACAGGCACAACAGACCCAACAGGCACAAGAGGCACAACAGACCCAACAAACCCAACAGCACAACAGACCUAACAGGCACAACAGACCCAACAGGCACAACAGACCCAACAGACC
Molecule: non-coding RNA, 750 nt
Organism: Paramuricea clavata
Lineage: Eukaryota; Metazoa; Cnidaria; Anthozoa; Malacalcyonacea; Plexauridae
Source: the annotation of a GenBank genome assembly